Molecule: ribosomal RNA, 441 nt
Filed under: uncultured bacterium
Lineage: Bacteria
Description: partial 16S ribosomal RNA
Rfam family: Bacterial small subunit ribosomal RNA
Source: RNAcentral
CCUACGGGUGGCAGCAGUGGGGAAUAUUGCACAAUGGGGGAAACCCUGAUGCAGCAACGCCGCGUGUGUGAGGAAGUAUUUCGGUAUGUAAAGCUCUAUCAGCAGGGAAGAGAAUAGUAGGUACCUGACAAUGAAGCCCCGGCUAACUACGUGCCAGCAGCCGCGGUAAUCCGUAGGGGGCAAGCGUUAACCGGAUUUACUGGGUGUAAAGGGAGCGUAGACGGAAAGGGAAGUCAGAAGUGAAACCCCAAGGCUCAACCAUGGAACUGCUUUUGAAACUGUCAAGCUAGAGUACGGGAGAGGUAAGUGGAAUUCCUGGUGUAGCGGUGAAAUGCGUAGAGAUUAGGAGGAACACCAGUGGCGAAGGCGUCCUACUGGACCGAAACUGACGUUGAGGCUCGAAAGCGUGGGGAGCAAACAGGAUUAGAUACCCGAGUAGUC